RNAcentral lists this ribosomal RNA (914 nucleotides) under uncultured delta proteobacterium. RNAcentral's name for it is "bacterial SSU rRNA". It matches the Rfam family "Bacterial small subunit ribosomal RNA", at positions 28 to 916 of the family's 1533-position model. The record is from RNAcentral. Lineage: Bacteria; Deltaproteobacteria.
AACGAACGCUGGCGGCGUGCUUAAGACAUGCAAGUCGAACGGAAAGGCCCCCUUCGGGGGGUACUCGAGUGGCGCACGGGUGAGUAACGCGUGGGUAAUCUGCCCUCAGGACCGGGACAACCCUGGGAAACUGGAGCUAAUACCGGAUAAGACCACGAGCUCGUCAGAGCUUGCGGAAAAAGAUGGCCUCUUCUUGAAAGCUAUCGCCAGAGGAUGAGCCCGCGUCCCAUUAGCUUGUUGGUGAGGUAACGGCUCACCAAGGCGACGAUGGGUAGCUGGUCUGAGAGGAUGAUCAGCCACACUGGAACUGAGACACGGUCCAGACUCCUACGGGAGGCAGCAGUCGGGAAUUUUGGGCAAUGGGCGAAAGCCUGACCCAGCAACGCCGCGUGAGGGAUGAAGGCCUUCGGGUCGUAAACCUCUGUCGGGAGGGAAGAACGUGAUCCAUUCAAAUAGGGUGGAUGACUGACGGUACCUCCAAAGGAAGCACCGGCUAACUCCGUGCCAGCAGCCGCGGUAAUACGGAGGGUGCAAGCGUUGUUCGGAAUCAUUGGGCGUAAAGCGCGCGUAGGCGGCUUGGUAAGUCGGGUGUGAAAGCCCGGGGCUCAACCCCGGAACGGCACUCGAAACUGCCUCGCUAGAGUCUCGGAGAGGAAGGCGGAAUUCCCGGUGUAGAGGUGAAAUUCGUAGAUAUCGGGAGGAACACCAGUGGCGAAGGCGGCCUUCUGGACGAUGACUGACGCUGAGGUGCGAAAGUGUGGGGAGCAAACAGGAUUAGAUACCCUGGUAGUCCACGCCGUAAACGUUGAGUGCUAGGUGUCGCGGGUAUUGACCCCUGCGGUGCCGCCGCUAACGCAUUUAGCACUCCGCCUGGGGAGUACGGUCGCAAGGCUAAAACUCAAAGGAAUUGACGG